Molecule: long non-coding RNA, 1763 nt
Filed under: Pongo abelii (Sumatran orangutan)
Lineage: Eukaryota; Metazoa; Chordata; Mammalia; Primates; Hominidae
Description: lincRNA
Source: RNAcentral
GGGGUCAAGCCCCCUUGGAGCCUGCAGCCCCUGCCUUCCCUGGGUGGGCUGAUGCUUGGAGCAGAGAUGAGGACUCAGAAUCAGACCUGUGUCUGGAGGAGGGAUGUGGUGGGUGGAGCUGGCUGGGCCCGAAUGUGUGCUGCAGGCCCUGAUCCCCAACUCUGCAAGUGGGGACCCCUCCAUGGCCACAGCUCAGGCUGGGCUGUGGUGCCAGCAUGGAUAGGUGGGUGAGUGGGUGGCCCUUACUUUAAAAGGGAAGCCAGCUGUGUCCUUUCCGGGCCUGGAGGCUUGGCCCCUCCUCUCCCAAGCCUGGCGGGCACUGGCCCGGCCCGCACCUUCCUAGCAGCCAGUUACCCAAGAGAAAGCUGUCUUGGGCCUCCAGACCGUUAAAUGCCAACUCCUGGCUUCCGGUAUCAGGCUGGGUUGACCUGACCUGGCCCCUUCUUGCUGGGCCCUGCAGCUUUCUAACUUGCCAGGAGGAGCAGUGACACCCGCCCCACAUGUAGGGCAUGGAGCAAGGUCCAUAUGGACCCAGAAGGGACACAAGCAGGUCUGCUUAGUCCUGAGGAGCUGGGAACUAAGCUGGGAAUAGCUGAUCCUCCCUGCCUUGAGGGGGUUCUCAGGGCAGGGAAGAGUUAGGACUGUUUUUUUUUUUGAGAUGGAGUCUCGCACUGUCAUCUGGGCUGGAGUGCAAUGGCUCGAUCUCGGCUCACUGUAACCUCUGCCUCCCCAGUUCACACGAUUCUCCUGCCUCAGCCUCCCAGGUAGCUGGGAUUACAGGUGCACACCACCACACCCGGCUAAUUUUUGUAUUUUUAGUAGAGAUGGAGUUUUGCCAUGUUGGCCAGGCUGGUCUCGAACUCCUGACCUCAGGUGAUCUGCCCGCCUCAGCCUCCCGAAGUGUUGGGAUUACAGGUGUGAGUCACUGCCCCGGCCAAUUGUUUUUAUGUUUUGUAGAGACGGGGUUUCGCCAUGUUACCCAGGCUGGUCUUGAACUCCUGACCUCAAGCAAUCCUCUCGUCUUAGCCUCCCAAAGUGCUGGGAUUACAGCUGUGAGCCACCGUGCCCAGCCUUUUAUUGUUUGUUUUUGAGACGGAGUCUCACUCUGUUGCCCAGGCUGAAGUGCAGUGGCAUGAUCUUGGCUCACUACAACCUCUGCCUCCUGGGUUCAAGCGAUUCUCCUGCCUCAGCCUCCUAAGUAGCUGGGCUUACAGGCACCCACCACCAUGCCCGGCUAAUCUUUGUAUUUUUAGUAGAGACGGGGUUUCACCAUCUUGACCAGGCUGGUGUGAUCAUGGCUCAUUGCAAUCUUGAACGCCUGGGCACAAGUGAUCCUCCUGCCUUAGCCUCCCCAGUAGACCUGGGACUACAGGUAUGCGCCACCACACCUGGCUAAUUUUUUUAAUUUUAAUUUUUGUAGAGAUGGAGGGGCGGGUCUCACUAUGUUGCCUAGGCUGUUCUCGAACUCCUGGCCACAAGCCAUCCUCCCACCUUAGCCUCCCAAUGCGCCGGAAUUACAGGUGGCUCAGGUGUGAGCCACUGUGCCUGGCCUCUCUCCACUAUCUUGAAAUCAGAUGGGAGGAGGCUUUUUUCUGGGUGGGACUGAGGAGGCACAAUGAAGUCCCCAGGUCAUCAGGGCUGGGCCAUUGCCUUUUUCCCCGCCCUGGGUAGUCAUGGACAGAAGCUUGGGAUGGGAUGGAGAGGAGAGAUUGUGCUGUGUGUCAUGUCUGUUGUUCAAGUAAAUAAAAGUUGCCCUGACUUCA